This 254-nucleotide ribosomal RNA is filed under the name uncultured bacterium. RNAcentral's name for it is "partial 16S ribosomal RNA". It matches the Rfam family "Bacterial small subunit ribosomal RNA", at positions 524 to 776 of the family's 1533-position model. The record is from RNAcentral.
UACGGGGGGAGCAAGCGUUGUUCGGAUUUACUGGGCGUAAAGGGCGCGUAGGCGGUCAGUGCAAGUCAGUUGUGAAAUCUCCGGGCUUAGCUCGGAAAGGUCAACUGAUACUGCUCGACUAGAGUGCGGAAGGGGCAACUGGAAUUCUUGGUGUAGCGGUGAAAUGCGUAGAUAUCAAGAGGAACACCUGCGGCGAAGGCGGGUUGCUGGGCCGACACUGACGCUGAAGUGCGAAAGCCAGGGGAGCGAACGGG